GCCCAGAUAGCUCAGUUGGUAGAGCAAAGGAUUGAAGCUCCUUGUGUCCAUGGUUCGAUUCCGUGUCUGGGCACCA
Molecule: transfer RNA, 76 nt
Rfam family: tRNA
About the family: Transfer RNA (tRNA) molecules are approximately 80 nucleotides in length.